AUUGAACGCUGGCGGCAUGCCUAACACAUGCAAGUCGAACGGCAGCACGGCAGUAGCAAUACUGUGGGUGGCGAGUGGCGGACGGGUGAGGAAUGCGUCGGAAUCUGCCCAGUCGUGGGGGAUAACUAGCCGAAAGGUUAGCUAAUACCGCAUACGACCGAGAGGUGAAAGCGGGGGACCGCAAGGCCUCGCGCGAUUGGAUGAGCCGACGUCGGAUUAGCUAGUUGGUGGGGUAAAGGCCUACCAAGGCGACGAUCCGUAGCUGGUCUGAGAGGAUGAUCAGCCACACUGGAACUGAGACACGGUCCAGACUCCUACGGGAGGCAGCAGUGGGGAAUAUUGGACAAUGGGCGCAAGCCUGAUCCAGCAAUGCCGCGUGUGUGAAGAAGGCCUCGGUUGUAAGACACUUUAUCUAGAACGAAAGACGUAGGAGUUAAUAACUACUGACGUGCUGACGGUACCGUCGAGGAAGUAAAGACACCGGCUAACUU
This 491-nucleotide ribosomal RNA is filed under the name uncultured bacterium. RNAcentral describes it as "bacterial SSU rRNA". It matches the Rfam family "Bacterial small subunit ribosomal RNA", at positions 29 to 503 of the family's 1533-position model. The record is from RNAcentral.